AUUACUCCUACGGGAGGCAGCAGUGGGGAAUUUUGGACAAUGGGGGCAACCCUGAUCCAGCCAUGCCGCGUGUCUGAAGAAGGCCUUCGGGUUGUAAAGGACUUUUGUCAGGGAGGAAAUCCUGGUCGUUAAUAGCGAUCGGGGAUGACAGUACCUGAAGAAUAAGCACCGGCUAACUACGUGCCAGCAGCCGCGGUAAUAAU
This 203-nucleotide ribosomal RNA is filed under the name uncultured bacterium. Its description in RNAcentral is "partial 16S ribosomal RNA". It matches the Rfam family "Bacterial small subunit ribosomal RNA", at positions 332 to 526 of the family's 1533-position model. The record is from RNAcentral.